Long non-coding RNA from Centruroides sculpturatus (bark scorpion), 563 nucleotides. RefSeq lists it as uncharacterized. The transcript has 3 exons. The record is from RefSeq and is a predicted model, not a curated record. Lineage: Eukaryota; Metazoa; Arthropoda; Arachnida; Scorpiones; Buthidae.
CCGGAGGCGAAAAUACAACCACGGCCGCGUAACUAAAGGCACCCAAAUUACCAUCUUCGGUGCCUAUUGUCGGGAAACAAAAGAGGUGAUGUACUGGCGUGUGGACAACAAGAGCCGACGGGUUCUCUGGAGCCACAUGCUCAGAUACAUCGCCCCCGGUUCCAUCAUUGUUUCCGACAGCGCGGCCCAAUAUCGCGGUUUUACGACGAUGGGCUUCUCUGAAGAUAAGACCGUCAAUCACAGCCAGCGGGGCCCCGGGAGAUUCGUCGACGCCGAUGACCCCGAGGCCCACACUCAGAACAUCGAGUGCAGAAAUCGCUGGUUGAAGAAGUCCAUCAAGUCGCUCCGCACGGACAGGAGCCUGCAAAGCUACAACUGUACGUACUGUACGUGUACAGGACGCGGGUCCUGUCCCAGUUGCCAACAACAUCGGCAAAAUUCCGGCAGUUUCUCGGGGACAUCGCGGCCGCAUACCCGGGCCCCGGUCGUCAGGGUCUCCAACUCCGGACGAUCGGUGUGCCCGUGGAUCAACAUCUGCCGCCGGACGAGCCCUAUUUCGAUGU